AUACAAGGCAUACGGCUCAGUAACGCGUAGUCAACCUACCCUAUGGACGGGGAUAAUCUCGGGAAACUGAGCAUAAUACCCGGCAGACCACUUACCCUGGAAUGGUUUAUGUUCCAAAUGAUUUACCGCCAUAGGAUGGGACUGCGGCCUAUCAGUUUGUUGGUGAGGUAAUGGCCCACCAAGACUAUUACAGGUACGGGCUCUGAGAGGAGUGGCCCGGAGAUGGGUACUGAGACACGGACCCAGGCCCUAUGGGGCGCAGCAGGCGAGAAAACUUUGCAAUGUGCGAAAGCACGACAAGGUUAAUCCGAGUGGUUUUUGCUAAAGGAACCUUUUGUUAGUCCUAGAAACACUAACGAAUAAGGGGUGGGCAAGUUCUGGUGUCAGCCGCCGCGGUAAAACCAGCACCUCAAGUGGUCAGGAUGAUUAUUGGGCCUAAAGCAUCCGUAGCCUGAUCUGUAAGUUUUCGGUUAAAUCUGUACGCUCAACGUACAGGCCGCCGGGAAUACUGCAAAUCUAGGGAGUGGGAGAGGUAGACGGUACUCGGGAGGAAGUGGUAAAAUGCUUUGAUCUCUCGAUGACCACCUGUGGCGAAGGCGGUCUACCA
RNAcentral lists this ribosomal RNA (607 nucleotides) under uncultured archaeon. RNAcentral's name for it is "bacterial SSU rRNA". It matches the Rfam family "Archaeal small subunit ribosomal RNA", at positions 74 to 682 of the family's 1478-position model. The record is from RNAcentral.